Molecule: ribosomal RNA, 465 nt
Filed under: Vreelandella stevensii
Lineage: Bacteria; Pseudomonadati; Pseudomonadota; Gammaproteobacteria; Oceanospirillales; Halomonadaceae
Description: partial 16S ribosomal RNA
Rfam family: Bacterial small subunit ribosomal RNA
Source: RNAcentral
CCUACGGGCGGCAGCAGUGGGGAAUAUUGGACAAUGGGGGCAACCCUGAUCCAGCCAUGCCGCGUGUGUGAAGAAGGCCCUCGGGUUGUAAAGCACUUUCAGUGAGGAAGAACGCCUGGUGGUUAAUACCCAUCAGGAAAGACAUCACUCACAGAAGAAGCACCGGCUAACUCCGUGCCAGCAGCCGCGGUAAUACGGAGGGUGCGAGCGUUAAUCGGAAUUACUGGGCGUAAAGCGCGCGUAGGUGGCUUGAUAAGCCGGUUGUGAAAGCCCCGGGCUCAACCUGGGUACGGCAUCCGGAACUGUCAAGCUAGAGUGCAGGAGAGGAAGGUAGAAUUCCCGGUGUAGCGGUGAAAUGCGUAGAGAUCGGGAGGAAUACCAGUGGCGAAGGCGGCCUUCUGGACUGACACUGACACUGAGGUGCGAAAGCGUGGGUAGCAAACAGGAUUAGAUACCCCUGUAGUC